GGCGAUACGUUUAUUCCACAAGAAUUGCUACCAGUGGCCAUAAAAUUGAGAGCAAAAGUGAACAAACCGGGAGGUGGCAAAGGAUUUGUUAGUUCAUCGAAAAGUCCUGAACAAUUAGCGGAUAAGUUGUUUGAAG
Long non-coding RNA from Colias croceus (clouded yellow), 136 nucleotides. RefSeq lists it as uncharacterized. Lineage: Eukaryota; Metazoa; Arthropoda; Insecta; Lepidoptera; Pieridae. The transcript has 3 exons. The record is from RefSeq and is a predicted model, not a curated record.